Long non-coding RNA from Gadus chalcogrammus (walleye pollock), 3560 nucleotides. RefSeq lists it as uncharacterized. Lineage: Eukaryota; Metazoa; Chordata; Actinopteri; Gadiformes; Gadidae. The transcript has 5 exons. The record is from RefSeq and is a predicted model, not a curated record.
UAUUUGGGAAGGAAAACGAAUGGUGACGUUUUUAGAUCCAUAGAUCUGUGUUAAAAAUAGAUAAGUGAUAUGGGGAGAAAAAUGGUUACUUCCUGUGCCGUGGGGUUUAGAGGGUCACACACACGGUUCUUUCACUGCUGCAUAAAAGAUCACGCACUGCAAUAAUGACUUUAAAAGCAGUUCACGCGACGGGAAACCUCUCGGAUGAAUGAAUGACUUGCUGUUCUCCUUCACGCGGUCACAGCAGGGUUCCGACGAACCGCACUGAUGUGAACAAUAUGAUGGACUCUAAGCUCGUCACUGCCCAAGGUGGAGAUGUCUGCAGGCCCAGCAGGGGUGAGAUAAGGUUAUCCUUCAGGAAUGCAGAGCUGCUCGUAUGGAGUGAGUACACUCCCAUACAGAAGCACCAUGUUAGAAAACCCCAAUGGAAUACAUGUCUUACAUGGAUAGGAUCAACAUCAAUGAUUUUAUUCAUGCACAUUUUCCUGUCGUAUUAUCAAAAUGAUCGGAUAAACAACCACAGUAAAAUGCGGCUUAUUAUUUUCUUUCCAAUGGAACCAAGACUAAAAUGCAAAUUAAUCAAAUCCAAUAUCAGAUUUUGAGGUGAAAACAAGAAGCUGUUUUCCACCACAAAAUCGCCCCACCCCCCUUCCCCCUUAUCUGCUAUUUUGGCGGGCAAGGAGACGACAGAUGCUUUCUUCAGCGGUUCAAAGUUUGGAUCAGUUAUGGAGCAGCUUGGCUCGUGUGGGAGCUCAUUUAAGAACAGAGGACUGGAUGACUGAGUUCCUCUCUCACUCCGUCAGUGCAGGGCUUCGCAGAUUCUCGAUCCAAAGGGGAUUGCAGGACCAUGCACAUGCAGCAGCCAUGUGUCACUGGUGCCAGAGCCAUAGGAGGCACCUCACCGCCGUUCAGGCAAGUGUCCUCCACCCACCCGAUCGCAGCUCUGAACCUGGGAACACCGGAAAGAAGAAAGGCCAGCCUCUGCAGGCAGAUGGCGCUGUUGCUCCAGAGCGUCUCUGCUUCAGAGUCUUCUGACCGCGCUGUAAUGCAGGGGAAGCUUGUGUUCCACCACAGUGAGGUAUUGCUUCCAGGUCGAUCGCACACAGCUCCACGUCACUCCGAUGAUAUUGAUCCACGGUAAAAGGACAUAAGAAGGGAACGCUUUCUCUGUGUGUGUGUGUGUGUGUGUGUGUGUGUGUGUGUGUGUGUGUGUGUGUGUGUGUGUGUGUGUGUGUGUGUGUGUGUGUGCGCGCGCGCGCUCGAGUGAUGUGUGAUGUGUGAUGCGUGUGCGCGCACGCGCGAGUGAUGUGUGAUGCGUUUGUCUGAGAUACAUUGAUGUGUUUUUCAUUUCUGAAUUAUAUUAUCUGGAUACAUUUUGGCUAAAUAUAACAGAAAUAACAGAAAAAAUACAGCAAACCACAACAGAUUUUUCUGGACCAGAUAUCACCAGUGAUGAGGUUUCCCUCCACACACCAAUGGAGUACUUUUAUAAGUUUGUGUCAGAAGACAUGAUUCAGGAACUGAUGAAAUCCACAAAUGAGUACAACUCUCAGAAGAAUUGCACAUCUGUAAAUAAUGAUACAAGUGAUAUUCAGAAAGUGAUUGGCAGGUGUCUGAAGAUGGGCCUAGUGCAGAUGGCUGGAGUCCGUAUGUAUUAGGAGACAGACACACAGUACCCCCAUGUUUCUGAUCUGAUGUCAUGCAACAGAUUCCAAUCUCUGUUGACAUCAUUACAUGUUGUAAACAACUUGAAAGUGUCGGAGACGGAAAAGAAAGACAAACUCCUGGAAACUCAGACCAUGGCUUGAUUCAUUCAGAGAGUAAUGCCUGCAGGUGGUACCGGAAGAGCGCAACUCUGAGGAUAAGAUGAUUCAUUUCAAAGAGAAAUUCAUUCGCUUACAACAUAUACAUGGGAGGUGUGGAUUUGUUGGACUCAUUUGCACCGCUGGGAUGUCUACAUCUUCUGGCACGCGAUUAUCCUCGCUGUGACCAAAGCCUGGCUCCUCUACAAGCGGGAAUGCAAUGCUCACAAGUUGCCUGUGAAAGACAUAAUGAAGAAGAGACUGUAUCAGGCCCUACUAGCAUCUUCUCUCAUCCUGGUGAACACAACUCUCAGCACACCAAAGACGGGGCAACCAUCUUCAGGCAAUUGGAGCCCAGCAAUACAGAAUGUAACAUCAAGGAGCCCUCUGAAUGCACUGAAGAGACCAACCCCAGGUGGGGAGUCACUAAACGGGGUCCCAACCAAGAGGCUGUACAUCCCCCAGCACGCACUGACCUAUUCGCACAUAUGCAAGUGAAAAUCAACAGAGGAUGUGGCAGAUAUUGCACUAAUGGAUUCAAAACCACCAUAUGUAGCAAGUGUCAUGUUCGUCUUUGCUUUUCAGAGGAAAAAACUGUUUCUGGGACUACCAUAGCAAAUAAACAUGGCUGAACUCUGGGAAUGAGACGAUAUUCAGUUUUGUAUUUUUAUUUCAUAUAUUAUUUUUUUUAUUCAAAAAUGACUCCAUAAAAAAUAUGACUGUUGUGUGAUUUUUAUUCUUGAUGUAUCCUGCUAUGAGUCUAAAUAAGCAGUCAACCCCGCAACUGAUCCACUAGUUGUUCUGUAUAUUUGUAUAGUACAAAUACAGAAAUUCUGCUCCCAGCUAGGGCCAACGUUGCAAAAUUAAUAAAAUUUCCUAAAAACUUACUUAAAUAUAAGAUAAUUUCUUCAUCAGAGGCCUCAUACAACAACAUUUGAAAGGUAAAAAAAAUAUGUGAGCCAAAUGGUUUGGAAAUCUGGACUAUUUCUGUGAUGAACCACCAGGGGGCAACCUAAUACCACAAUUAGUGGGAUCAGCUGAAGACUGACUUUAUGUUCUUACACCGUUGUGUAGACCACUUAUAAAAUACAUUCUAUCCAGACAUGAAAUUCCAAUGUUGCCACUUCAGGCAAUUACCACAUUAUAUAACGGCCAAUUGUUGCAUUCAUAAUGAUUUUUCUUUAAAUGUUGAUUGAGACUAAAGGCCUAAAAUAUAGUCAUAACAUUUCCUUAAACUUUGGACCAUGUGUCUGUACCCCUUUUUUAAAGAAAUGGAUCUACCGUCAUCUUUCAAAGCUAAUUACAGAUCAGCUCUAAACUGAUUACUUGUAAGAGACAUGACCUCACUGUAAAGAAGAAGACCAUAUUUACCUUGGUUUGUUGCAAGGUAGGCCUGAAGGGAGGUCCUUUUUCUGGGGAGAACCAGCAUGGGUUUGUUCAGUUCAGAAAGGGUAUCUUUAGAGAGGCUGAAUUCGUUUUCAAUACUUCAAUACUUGCAACAGCAGAAGGCAAACAGGUGUUUUAAAACAGUGUUUGUUUCUCUGUAAAGAACCAUACAAUCAUAACUCCUGUUUGAUGUUUUUGUUAAUCUAUGUAGGUUUUCUUCUUUCUUCUUCUGUAUUAUUAAAAUAAAUAAAGGUUUCAUUACAGUGGUUAUUGUGGGAGAUUGUGUCUUAUCUGGUUUAAUGAGGCAGAGGCACGUGCAAACGACAUUUCCCCCCAUCCAGAAAUGUGUGGAUCGUGAGGCAUGGAACUGGA